AUUGAACGCUGGCGGCAGGCCUAACACAUGCAAGUCGAACGAGGGGCGGACGGGUGAGUAAUGUCUGGGAACCUGCCCGCUGGAGGGGGAUAACUACUGGAAACGGUAGCUAAUACCGCAUACCAUCAGAUGUUCCCAGAUGGGAUUAGCUAGUAGGUGGGGUAACGGCUCACCUAGGCGACGAUCCCUAGCUGGUCUGAGAGGAUGACCGGCCACACUGGAACUGAGACACGGACCAGACUCCUACGGGAGGCAGCAGUGGGGAAUAUUGCACAAUGGGCGCAAGCCUGAUGCAGCCAUGCCGCGUGUAUGAAGAAGGCCUUCGGGGUGUAAAGUACUUUCAGGGGGGAGGCGGUACCCGCAGAAGAAGCACCGGCUAACUCCGUGCCAGCAGCCGCGGUAAUAC
RNAcentral lists this ribosomal RNA (406 nucleotides) under uncultured bacterium. RNAcentral's name for it is "partial 16S ribosomal RNA". It matches the Rfam family "Bacterial small subunit ribosomal RNA", at positions 29 to 526 of the family's 1533-position model. The record is from RNAcentral.